GGCAAGUGGUAUAUAGGCAUGAACUGCUACAAUUCGAAUGUUGAAAAAAGAGAAUGUCAAUGAGUCUAAUGGAAUGUUUCAGAGCUCACAGAAGUCUAUGUGAGGAAGCAGGCAAAGGAACCAUCCUGGAAAGAGGGGCAGGUGCUGGAAGAAAGAUUUCUAGUCAGUGGAAAAUCCUUUCAACUGACCUCUCCUCUUCUAGAAGAAAUUAUGCAUGGGAAUUUAUUUUUUACAAGCUUUCAUUGAC
Orcinus orca (killer whale) is the source of this 247-nucleotide long non-coding RNA. RefSeq lists it as uncharacterized. The transcript is spliced from 3 exons. The record is from RefSeq and is a predicted model, not a curated record. NCBI's taxonomy places the organism in Eukaryota, Metazoa, Chordata, Mammalia, Artiodactyla, Delphinidae.